Cervus elaphus (red deer) is the source of this 2479-nucleotide long non-coding RNA. RefSeq lists it as uncharacterized. NCBI's taxonomy places the organism in Eukaryota, Metazoa, Chordata, Mammalia, Artiodactyla, Cervidae. The transcript is spliced from 4 exons. The record is from RefSeq and is a predicted model, not a curated record.
GGAAGCGUCUGCUGUGAUUGGUUGGUGCUCGCCGGCACCGCCCCUUUUUCUGCGACCGGAUCGUCCCUCGCGGCGGGGGUCUUCCGUUCUGAUUCCACCGGCUCCGCGACCCGGAAGUUCGAGGCACCGAUAGACCAGCUUUCCGGCACCUUCCGGUUUAAAAACCAGGCCAGGUUUUUCUCCAAGAGGAGCCACUCCCGGGCCAAGUUAGCCGGUGAGAGGGAGAUAGGCGCGCGCCGACGUUGCUCUCAGCAUCAGGACCUUAAAGGUGCCUGGUUUUCUACACUGAUGCAGAAGAAAAUCUUCAAAUCAACUUAGCAGAGACAAAUCUUCCAGUCACAUAAAGCCACCUCCCACGUCCUUGCCAAUAAAGGCAGCCAGCAGCAACAGAAGCCACGAGGUGUCAGCAAGAGGAAUUUAAAGGCCACCAGAGGGAACACAGAGGGUGGCUCAGAUGAGGGAACACAGAAGCCAGUCGCUGCAUAGGAAGGAAGUUGGCUUUAAACAAUUCUGCUGAAAUUCUUCCAUGUUACUCCUCAAACUGGGCACACAGCUUCGGAAGGACAUGACUCACUCGGAGCACCCUGAGGUGGCAAAGUGCUCUUCUGGGGCGAGGAUAAAUUACCCACCCACAGCCUCUUGCACAACCAUGUGUCCCCGCUGGUCUGAUUCAGGUGGCACUUGCACCAUGGUCAUCCAGGAGGGCGACAGCAGCUGUCAGAGGCUCGCUCCCUUCUUUACCUGGUAGGGUAAGGUUGCAGGACUGGUUCUGCCACGGAUGCCUCAGGGCCGAAGAAUGGAGGAGCAAGGGCCCUUUUCUCUAAACAAAAGUCAGGCUGAGAAUCCUAAGUGGUGCCUUUUGCAUCAACUCUGCAGGAGAGACAGGAAGAAGAAAAAGCAGGUGUUGGUCAAAUGAUAAUGUUGGUUUUGACGACAUAGGUUAUCUUACAGAAAAUAGAUCAUCUUGAACUGUGGUGUUGGCGAAGACUCUUGAGAGUCCCUUGGGCUGCAAGGAGAUCCAACCAGUCCAUCCUAAAGGAGAUCAGUCCUGAAUAUUCAUUGGAAGGACUGAUGUUGAAGCUGAAACUCCAAUCCUUUGGCCACCUGAUGCGAAGAGCUGACUCAUUUGAAAAGACCCCGAUGCUGGGAAAGAUUGAAGGAGGGAGGAGAAGGGGAAGACAAAGGAUGAGACGGUUGGAUGGCAUCACCGACUCAACGGACAUGAGUUUGAGUAAACUCUCCGAGUUGGUGAUGGACAGGGAGGCCUGGCGUGCUGCAGGCCAUGGGGUCGCAAAGAGUCGGACACGACUGAGCGACUGAACUGAAUGAACUGAGCUGAACUGACUUUUAAAGAUGGAAGGAGACGGAAAGAGGAAUAGUAAUUCAAGAGGGAAAUAGAGCAUAGUACCUUGAUAUUAGUGAGUGAAAUUGAUGAAAUUGAUUUCUAUUCUCUGAAAUAGGAAUUUAAAAGUUUAGGUAUUUAAUAGCUGGUAAUUUAGAAUUCUGAAGGGUAGUUGUUUGGGAAAGAAAUACAUCUUAUUAUAUGAUCACAUCAAUAACCUAUACCAAAGUGUAAUAAUAGUAAUAAUAGCAAUCUGUCCUAACUUCCUGAAGGAAAUAGCAAGAGAAACAAAAGAUGAUCAUAUUUUGUAUUUGUAAAUAAUGUUACAAGUUUCCAAGGUAUUUCACUUAAACGGUUUCAUUUAAUCCUCAUGCCAGUUUUAAAAAUAGGCUGCCCAAUUUCUUUGUCUUCAUUUUGCAGGCAGAGGAUUGAAGCCUAGACCAGCUUGGUGGUUUGCCCUGGGUUAAAAUCCGGGAAAUAACAAAACUAGGACUAGAGCUCUUGGCUCUUGCUUCCCAGGUGUUGUUUUUUCACUUCUGAAGGAGUGAUCAUUCCUGAUUCCACAAUCUCUGUCACUGAAAACAGCCAUGAGUUUCCAGAGUUGAGUAAAGCUUCUCCAGGCUUUGGUAUCACUCACAGUACUUAUCCCUAGUGAAUGGAUACUGUGUGUGGUUUUCCCUUUCUGUGUACUGUCAACAUAACAUGGGAAUCAACCUAAACAAUUCAGCUCACAACUUUCCUUUGGGUCUGUCAAGGGCCUCCGUCCUCGGUCAUGGUUCAGCUGGCAGACAACGGAACCAUCUGCACCAACCCAACAGCAGCGCUUCCACCUCCUCCACCCUCCGACCCAGUUUCUGCCCACAGCUGGCACCACAGCAGGCACCUGCAUAUACUGCAGAAUUUUUUGAGUUUGCUUUCAACCUGCCACCAACCCCCAAUCUCUCUUUCACACACACACAUGCAUCCCUUACCACACACAGAUGUACACACACACACACACACACAAGCAUUCUAGGGGAAAAUUUUUGUAUUGCUUUUAUUACUUUAAAUAAAUAAAUAAAAUGAACCGUAAGUAAAAGUUAAUUAUGGGGUAAGAUUGGCUUCCCAGGUGGCACUAGUGGCAAAGAACCUGGCUGC